Long non-coding RNA from Sinocyclocheilus rhinocerous, 549 nucleotides. RefSeq lists it as uncharacterized. The record is from RefSeq and is a predicted model, not a curated record. Lineage: Eukaryota; Metazoa; Chordata; Actinopteri; Cypriniformes; Cyprinidae. The transcript has 3 exons.
AUCUUGGUGGGGAGCCCAUUACAUCAGGCGAAUACACUGGAAUUGGAAGGGUGACUGAGUUCAAGUAUGGUGCCAAGCUGGGCAAUGUCAUCCGCAAAUGGAACGGAGAAAAACUUUCCUUUGUCAAGAACUGGGGUGAGGGUUGGGGCUUCAUGUCUUCUGAUAAAGCUCUGGUGUUUGUUGACAACCACGAUAACCAGAGAGGACAUGGGGCAGGAGGUGCAUCUAUUGUGACAUUCUGGGAUGCCAGGUGCAAAUUCAUCUUAUUUCAAUUUACAGCAAAUGCUUGGCAAAUGAAAAAAAAAAAAAAACCAUUUCCUUUCAUCUGAAUUCAUCCUUCUCUUUCUAGGCUUUACAAAAUGGCUGUAGCCUUUAUGUUGGCCCACCCGUAUGGAUUUACCAGAGUAAUGUCCAGCUACCGGUGGGACCGCAACAUCGUGAAUGGACAGGACCAAAAUUACUGGCAGUGACCCCCCAGCAAUGGUGAUGGAUCCACUAAACCUGUUCCCAUCAACCCUGACUCUACCUGUGGUGAUGGCUGGGUUUGUG